UACGAAGGGGGCUAGCGUUGCUCGGAAUCACUGGGCGUAAAGGGUGCGUAGGCGGGUCUUUAAGUCAGGGGUGAAAUCCUGGAGCUCAACUCCAGAACUGCCUUUGAUACUGAAGAUCUUGAGUUCGGGAGAGGUGAGUGGAACUGCGAGUGUAGAGGUGAAAUUCGUAGAUAUUCGCAAGAACACCAGUGGCGAAGGCGGCUCACUGGCCCGAUACUGACGCUGAGGCACGAAAGCGUGGGGGAGACAA
RNAcentral lists this ribosomal RNA (250 nucleotides) under uncultured bacterium. RNAcentral's name for it is "partial 16S ribosomal RNA". It matches the Rfam family "Bacterial small subunit ribosomal RNA", at positions 524 to 772 of the family's 1533-position model. The record is from RNAcentral.